This is a long non-coding RNA of Alnus glutinosa, 268 nucleotides long. RefSeq lists it as uncharacterized. Lineage: Eukaryota; Viridiplantae; Streptophyta; Magnoliopsida; Fagales; Betulaceae. The record is from RefSeq and is a predicted model, not a curated record. The transcript is spliced from 3 exons.
UGGUCUUUGUUUCAGAUAUUUGAUUUAUUAAAAUCUGCUACAAUUUUAAAGAGAAACAAGAAGAAAAAGAUUUUGGUUUAUUUAUUGCAAUUAUUGAAAUCUACUUCAAUUUUAAAGAGAAACAAGAAGGAAAAGAUGUCCAGGAGUUUUAUCAGUUGUGAGAUCCCGAUGGGUCAAUUUUAAUUUCUUAUACUUCAUCUCCUCCGUUUUUUUUUUUGAAAUAUAUUUUGCUUGGUGAGGGGCACUGAAAAAAAUGGCCGGAUCUGAA